RNAcentral lists this ribosomal RNA (465 nucleotides) under uncultured bacterium. Its description in RNAcentral is "partial 16S ribosomal RNA". It matches the Rfam family "Bacterial small subunit ribosomal RNA", at positions 338 to 795 of the family's 1533-position model. The record is from RNAcentral.
CCUACGGGAGGCAGCAGUAGGGAAUCUUCCACAAUGGGCGCAAGCCUGAUGGAGCAACGCCGCGUGGGUGAAGAAGGUCUUCGGAUCGUAAAGCCCUGUUGUUAGAGAAGAACGUUCGUGAGAGUAACUGUUCCCGCUUCGACGGUAUCUACCCAUGAAGCCCCGGCUAACUACGUGCCAGCAGCCGCGGUAAUACGUAGGUGGCAAGCGUUAUCCGGAUUUAUUGGGCGUAAAGGGAACGCAGGCGGUCUAUUAAGUCUGAUGUGAAAGCCUUCGGCUUAACCGGAGUAGUGCAUUGGAAACUGGGAGACUGGAGUGCAGAAGAGGAGAGUGGAACUCCAGGUGUAGCGGUGAAAUGCGUAGAUAUAUGGAAGAACACCAGUGGCGAAAGCGGCUCGCUGGGCUGGAACUGACGCUGAGGUUCGAAAGCGUGGGUAGCAAACAGGAUUAGAUACCCCAGUAGUC